This 391-nucleotide unclassified non-coding RNA is filed under the name soil metagenome. RNAcentral's name for it is "partial contains 5.8S ribosomal RNA, internal transcribed spacer 2, and large subunit ribosomal RNA". The stretch from base 1 to 122 matches the Rfam family "5.8S ribosomal RNA", at positions 35 to 154 of the family's 154-position model. The record is from RNAcentral.
GAUGAAGAACGCAGCGAAAUGCGAUACUUGGUGUGAAUUGCAGAAUCCCGUGAACCAUCGAGUCUUUGAACGCAAGUUGCGCCCGAAGCCAUUAGGCCGAGGGCACGCCUGCCUGGGCGUCACACGUCGUUGCCCCCCCAUCUACUCCUUCGGGAUUGCGGGGGGCGGAUGAUGGCCUCCCGUGCGCCUCGUCGCGCGGUUGGCAUAAAUACCAAGUCCUCGGCGACGCACGCCACGACAAUCGGUGGUUGCGAAACCUCGGUUGCCCGUCGUGUGCGGUCGUCGCGCAUCGAGGGCUCGAAAAAAUUACCGGGCUCCGGCUCGGCUUUCAACGCGACCCCAGGUCAGGCGGGGUUACCCGCUGAAUUUAAGCAUAUCAAUAAGCGGAGGA